CUCCAUCAAAAAUGUAAAAGGAAGAAAAAAAGAUGUAACUCAGGCAUUACCCACCUCCAGGUAGCCUUCCUGAUGGCGCCAUCCCCAGGUGGGCUCAGGGGCAGCCUCUGUUCUCCAGGUAUCAGAAGCUGCCUCCCCAGGGCAGUGGUCCCAGGUCAGCUUCUGUAGGAGUCCAGGCACAGAAUGACGGUGGAUGGAUCAGGGCUGAGGGUCAGAGAUGCGGAGAGGCAGACAGCUUUGGGACGCACUUGGUGAGAUCAGUGGGAUUUGCUGCAGGGUGACUGUCAGGGUGCAGGGGAGAAUUCUGGACCGGCCGUGUCUUCAUCUCUUUCUCCCCUCCAAUCCCAGGAGAGCAAAUGAGGCAGGAGGACUUGCGGGCCCGGCUCACUAGCUCCAUCCUCAGGAACUCAAGGACCAUCAAGUUCCGUGGCUGGGAGGGAGCCUUUCUGGACAGAGUCCUGGCCAUCCGAGGCCAGGAGCUGGGCGCCUUGCGGACCUCCGGCCUCCUCUUCUCCGUGUCGCUGGUGUCCUUCCAAGCAUCUACAUCUCUGGUAAUGUCACUCUAGUCUCUAUGCUGAGCAGGACUGGGGAAGGAGUGUGGGGGUCAGGGGGUGAGGUAGGUGGAGCCUCCCAGAUCCUACCACCCUGUCCAUCAAAACCCACACAUUCUGGAUCCUGUUCUCUCGGGGUUCCUGCUGUCUUCUGUGUGAACAAGUUAAUCACAUCAUUCUGGUGAAGGUGGCAGCGGCUGAUGAGGUCUGUUGUUCUGAGAGUUCCAGGCUUCUACUGAUGUGGGAAGGAGUAUUUUGCAUGCACUACA
Molecule: long non-coding RNA, 820 nt
Organism: Sapajus apella (tufted capuchin)
Lineage: Eukaryota; Metazoa; Chordata; Mammalia; Primates; Cebidae
Exons: 3
Source: RefSeq, a predicted model, not a curated record